CCCUUAGAUGUUCUGGGCUGCACGCGUGCUACACUGAUUCUUUCAACAAGUGUUUUAACUGGAGAGUUCGCGUAAUCCUGAAAUGUUAUCGUGAUGGGAGUAGAGUAUUGUAUUUGUUAAUCUUUAACGAGGAAUUCCUAGCAAGUGUAGGUUUAUAAGUUGUUCUGAUUACGUCCCUGCCCUUUGUACACACCGCCCGUCGCUCCUACCGAUUGAUUGAUCCGGUGAAUUACAUAGAAUUUUGCGUUUUACAUGACGGAAGACGAAGUGUUUUAAACCUUAUCAUUUAGAGGAAGGAGAAGUCGUAACA
Molecule: ribosomal RNA, 310 nt
Filed under: uncultured eukaryote
Lineage: Eukaryota
Description: partial 18S ribosomal RNA
Rfam family: Eukaryotic small subunit ribosomal RNA
Source: RNAcentral